UGCUAUUUACAUCAACUAUCCUGAGAUAAAGAAUCCACAGGAUUUAAAUAUUAAAAUAUUCCUUUGUUCAUAACUACAUCGGAAUUUACAUCUAAAUAAUAGACAAGUUUAUCACAUAAGUAAACAAAUUCUAUCAUUGUCUGUCAAAGCGCUGAAUAGCCUUGCUACGCUCCUCUUCCAUGAUGCGAGACAUCGUCCUGCGAUCCAGCAUGUACGAUGGAAGUCCUUCG
This 230-nucleotide long non-coding RNA is filed under the name Panax ginseng (ginseng). RNAcentral's name for it is "long non-coding RNA (PGIN_LNC004805)". Lineage: Eukaryota; Viridiplantae; Streptophyta; Magnoliopsida; Apiales; Araliaceae. The record is from RNAcentral.